RNAcentral lists this transfer RNA (77 nucleotides) under Halieaceae bacterium. Its description in RNAcentral is "tRNA-Arg". It matches the Rfam family "tRNA". Rfam says of the family: Transfer RNA (tRNA) molecules are approximately 80 nucleotides in length. Their secondary structure includes four short double-helical elements and three loops (D, anti-codon, and T loops). RNAcentral also lists the same sequence under 1 other name. The record is from RNAcentral. Lineage: Bacteria; Pseudomonadati; Pseudomonadota; Gammaproteobacteria; Cellvibrionales; Halieaceae.
CCGCCCGUAGCUCAGCUGGAUAGAGCGCUGCCCUCCGAAGGCAGAGGUCAGAGGUUCGAAUCCUCUCGGGCGGGCCA